RNAcentral lists this unclassified non-coding RNA (18 nucleotides) under Mus musculus (house mouse). RNAcentral describes it as "oocyte_clustered_small_RNA174". Lineage: Eukaryota; Metazoa; Chordata; Mammalia; Rodentia; Muridae. The record is from RNAcentral.
CUCAGCACCUGGCCAGCU